Molecule: ribosomal RNA, 451 nt
Filed under: uncultured bacterium
Lineage: Bacteria
Description: bacterial SSU rRNA
Rfam family: Bacterial small subunit ribosomal RNA
Source: RNAcentral
CAGCCAGACUCCUACGGGAGGCAGCAGUGGGGAAUUUUGGACAAUGGGGGGAACCCUGAUCCAGCGACGCCGCGUGAGUGAAGAAGUAUUUCGGUAUGUAAAGCUCUAUCAGCAGGGAAGAAAGAAAUGACGGUACCUGACUAAGAAGCCCCGGCUAACUACGUGCCAGCAGCCGCGGUAAUACGUAGGCGGCAAGCGUUAUCCGGAUUUACUGGGCGUAAAGGGAGCGUAGACGGAGAAGCAAGUCUGAAGUGAAAGCCCGUGGCUUAACCACGGGACUGCUUUGGAAACUGUUUGACUAGAGUGCUGGAGAGGUAAGGGGAAUUCCUAGUGUAGCGGUGAAAUGCGUAGAUAUUAGGAGGAACACCAGUGGCGAAGGCGGCUUACUGGACAGUAACUGACGUUGAGGCUCGAAAGCGUGGGGAGCAAACAGGAUUAGAUACCCUGGUAC